Molecule: ribosomal RNA, 459 nt
Filed under: uncultured bacterium
Lineage: Bacteria
Description: partial 16S ribosomal RNA
Rfam family: Bacterial small subunit ribosomal RNA
Source: RNAcentral
CCUACGGGAGGCAGCAGUGAGGAAUAUUGGUCAAUGGGCGGAAGCCUGAACCAGCCAAGUCGCGUGAGGGAUUAAGGCCCUGCGGGUCGUACACCUCUUUUGCCGGGGAGCAGUGGUCCGGACGCGUCCGGACCGGGAGAGUACCCGGAGAAAAAGCAUCGGCUAACUCCGUGCCAGCAGCCGCGGUAAUACGGAGGAUGCGAGCGUUAUCCGGAUUUAUUGGGUUUAAAGGGUGCGUAGGCGGGCAUUUAAGCCGGCGGUCACAUGUCGGGGCUCAACCCCGGCCUGCCGUCGGAGCUGGGUGCUUGAGUCCGCGGAAAGCAGGCGGAAUUCGUCGUGUAGCGGUGAAAUGCUUAGAUAUGACGAAGAACCCCGAUUGCGAAGGCAGCUUGCUGCAGCGGAACUGACGCUGAUGCUCGAAAGCGCGGGUAUCGAACAGGAUUAGAUACCCGGGUAGUC